Tripterygium wilfordii is the source of this 790-nucleotide long non-coding RNA. RefSeq lists it as uncharacterized. The transcript has 4 exons. NCBI's taxonomy places the organism in Eukaryota, Viridiplantae, Streptophyta, Magnoliopsida, Celastrales, Celastraceae. The record is from RefSeq and is a predicted model, not a curated record.
CUCUUCACGCUCUUUCUUUCUCCGAGAUCUCCGCCCUCGUCGCCUUCUUCUUGUCGUCCUCAAUUCGGUGGUGGCUGGGACCAUUUCGAUUCCUAUCUUCCCCGAUCUAAUUCAUCCAUUUUCAGGGAAUUGCUAGGAAUUCUCUGUACGAGCUUCCUUUGGAAUGCUUCGAUCGAUUACCAGUCUAUACACUACACUGGGGCAGUGUUGCGCGAUGCCUGUGGGUUACGUGCAGAUUCCGGUGGGCACGCCGGACGUUUGUUGCUCGACGGGAAGGACUACUUUGUGCCCAUUGCUACCACUGAAGAGAUGCUAUGGGGAUGAUCAUGAUUUCUUAAGGUGUUCAGAACGUCUUCGAUUCACUCCAGAACACUGUCCCUGACAUGGAUAUUAUAGGCAUCUCUGGAGGAAAACGCAAAAGGUGAGAAACAAAGAAGAGACGCUCUCGCUGUCGUCCCUGCCGAUGGCGUCCUCUACUUCUCCGAAGGAGUCAUUGACAUCGGUCUUGCUAAACGACAACAGCUGCAAGGAAAAACGUACCUGCCAUCCGUCCACGAGAUCGAGUUCUCGCAAAAACCUUAGCUCUGUCUCGAAGGCGCGAUGUGAGGAGAAAUCUCAUCGAUCAGUCACACGUUGGGGUCCCCAAGGAGGAGGCCUCCCUCCCUCUCUCGUGUUCAAACGUUUGAAGGCGCUUUUCAGAGGGAACUUUAUGGUCCCAGGACGCAGAACUUCAUCAACUUAAGGUCAUCUUGAGCUGGCUAUUCUAAGAAAGAAAAUUUUCUUAGUAAGU